CUCGUGAAAGCAAGGACACAAACUAANAUUAGAUACCUUACUAUGCCCAGCUGUAACAAAACAAUCAAAUAACUAAUUGUUCGCCAAAUAACUACGAGUAAAAACUUAAAAUUUAAAAGACUUGACGGUACUUCACAUCAACCUAGAGGAGCCUGUCUAAUAACCGAUAACCCACGAUUAACCCAACCCACUCUAGCCCAACAGUCUAUAUACCGCCCUCGCCAGUUUACCUUGUGAAAGAAACAAAGUAAGCCUAACAACACUACAUUAAUACGACAGGUCGAGGUGUAACUAAUGAGCGGGCAAUGAUGGGCUACAUUUUCUAACCUAGAAAAUACGAAUAGACUAUGAAACUAGAAACUGAAGGCGGAUUUAGUAGUAAGCCAAGAACAGAAUACUUAGCCGAAAUUAACGCAAUGAAGUGCGCACACACCGCCCGUCAUCCCUGUAAAUUAUAAAAGACUAUUUAUAAACAAAUUAUAUAAACCCAAACAGGGCAAGUCGUAACAUGGUAAGCGUACUGGAAAGUGCGCU
RNAcentral lists this ribosomal RNA (534 nucleotides) under Hemachatus haemachatus (ringhals). RNAcentral's name for it is "partial small subunit ribosomal RNA". It matches the Rfam family "Bacterial small subunit ribosomal RNA", at positions 750 to 1518 of the family's 1533-position model. Lineage: Eukaryota; Metazoa; Chordata; Lepidosauria; Squamata; Elapidae. The record is from RNAcentral.